GGGCCCGUAGUCUAGUGGUCAUGACGUCUCUUUGACGUGGAGAAGGUCGCCAGUUCGAAUCUGGCCGGGCCCA
RNAcentral lists this transfer RNA (73 nucleotides) under Nanobdellota archaeon. RNAcentral's name for it is "tRNA-Val". It matches the Rfam family "tRNA". From Rfam's summary of the family: Transfer RNA (tRNA) molecules are approximately 80 nucleotides in length. Their secondary structure includes four short double-helical elements and three loops (D, anti-codon, and T loops). Further hydrogen bonds mediate the characteristic L-shaped molecular structure. tRNAs have two regions of fundamental functional importance: the anti-codon, which is responsible for specific mRNA codon recognition, and the 3' end, to which the tRNAs corresponding amino acid is attached (by aminoacyl-tRNA synthetases). tRNAs cope with the degeneracy of the genetic code in two manners: having more than one tRNA (with a specific anti-codon) for a particular amino acid; and 'wobble' base-pairing, i.e. permitting non-standard base-pairing at the 3rd anti-codon position. The record is from RNAcentral. RNAcentral also lists the same sequence under 1 other name. Lineage: Archaea; Nanobdellati; Nanobdellota.